RNAcentral lists this ribosomal RNA (343 nucleotides) under uncultured soil bacterium. RNAcentral describes it as "bacterial SSU rRNA". It matches the Rfam family "Bacterial small subunit ribosomal RNA", at positions 26 to 371 of the family's 1533-position model. The record is from RNAcentral.
AGAUUGAACGCUGGCGGCAGGCCUAACACAUGCAAGUCGAGCGGUAGAGAGGUGCUUGCAUCUCUUGAGAGCGGCGGACGGGUGAGUAAUGCCUAGGAAUCUGCCUAGUGGUGGGGGAUAACGUUCGGAAACGGACGCUAAUGCCGCAUACGUCCUACGGGAGAAAGCGGGGGACCUUCGGGCCUCGCGCCAUUAGAUGAGCCUAGGUCGGAUUAGCUAGUUGGUGAGGUAAUGGCUCACCAAGGCGACGAUCCGUAACUGGUCUGAGAGGAUGAUCAGUCACACUGGAACUGAGACACGGUCCAGACUCCUACGGGAGGCAGCAGUGGGGAAUAUUGGACAA